GGUCGCAUUUCUAGCUUGCUAGAAGAUGACGAGCGGCGGACGGGUGAGUAAUGCUUGGGAAUAUGCCUUAUGGUGGGGGACAACAGUUGGAAACGACUGCUAAUACCGCAUAACGUCUACGGACCAAAGGGGGGGAUCUUCGGACCUCCCGCCAUUUGAUUAGCCCAAGUGAGAUUAGCUAGUUGGUGAGGUAAUGGCUCACCAAGGCGACGAUCUCUAGCUGGUUUGAGAGGAUGAUCAGCCACACUGGGACUGAGACACGGCCCAGACUCCUACGGGAGGCAGCAGUGGGGAAUAUUGCACAAUGGGCGAAAGCCUGAUGCAGCCAUGCCGCGUGUGUGAAGAAGGCCUUCGGGUUGUAAAGCACUUUCAGUUGUGAGGAAAGGUGGGUAGUUAAUAGCUGCUCACUGUGACGUUAGCAACAGAAGAAGCACCGGCUAACUUCGUGCCAGCAGCCGCGGUAAUACGAGGGGUGCAAGCGUUAAUCGGAAUUACUGGGCGUAAAGCGUUCGUAGGCGGUCUAUUAAGCAAGAUGUGAAAGCCCAGGGCUCAACCUUGGAACUGCAUUUUGAACUGGUAGACUAGAGUACUGUAGAGGGUGGUGGAAUUCCAGUGUAGCGGUGAAAUGCGUAGAGAUUGGGAGGAACAUCAG
This 652-nucleotide ribosomal RNA is filed under the name uncultured Colwellia sp. Its description in RNAcentral is "bacterial SSU rRNA". It matches the Rfam family "Bacterial small subunit ribosomal RNA", at positions 64 to 712 of the family's 1533-position model. Lineage: Bacteria; Pseudomonadati; Pseudomonadota; Gammaproteobacteria; Alteromonadales; Colwelliaceae. The record is from RNAcentral.